AAGACUAUACUUUCAGGGAUCAUUUCUAUAGUUCUUAACUAGAGAAGUCUCUCUGAUCGUGUAGAGCACCGGAAACCACGAUGAGGAGUUGUAGUAUCCUCUCCUGAGCGUGAAGCUGGCCUCCGGUGUCACUUUCUUGUGAUUGCCGAGUGCCAUUGAUGAUCGUUCUUCUCUUUCUUUUGGAAGAGCAAGAGGGAGAGGAUACAUCCUGAGUGGU
This is a small nucleolar RNA of Ochotona curzoniae (black-lipped pika), 217 nucleotides long. RefSeq annotates it as small nucleolar RNA U3. The record is from RefSeq and is a predicted model, not a curated record. Lineage: Eukaryota; Metazoa; Chordata; Mammalia; Lagomorpha; Ochotonidae. The transcript has a single exon.